RNAcentral lists this ribosomal RNA (768 nucleotides) under Rhagovelia tenuipes. RNAcentral describes it as "partial 16S ribosomal RNA". The stretch from base 336 to 692 matches the Rfam family "Bacterial large subunit ribosomal RNA", at positions 2077 to 2643 of the family's 2925-position model. The record is from RNAcentral. Lineage: Eukaryota; Metazoa; Arthropoda; Insecta; Hemiptera; Veliidae.
UUUUUUUUAAUUUAAUAUAUUAUAUAGUUUUUUUUAUCUUUUUUUAUUUAUAAUAUAAUAUUAGGUAAUAAAUAUUUUAUAAUUUGAAUAUAGGAACUCGGCAAAAUUAAUUUUCACCUGUUUAACAAAAACAUGGUUUUUUGAUUUUAAUUUAAAAUCGGGCCUGCCCGUUGAUUUGAAAAAUUGAAAGGCUGCGGUAUUUUAACUGUACGAAGGUAGCAUAAUCACUUGUCUUUUAAUUGAAGGCUAGUAUGAAUGGUUUGAUGAAAAAUUUUCUUUCUUUAUUUAAUUUAUUUGAAUUUAAUUUUUUAAUUAAAAAGUUAAAAUUUUUUUAUAGGACGAGAAGACCCUAUAGAAAUUUAUUUUUUAUAUAGAUUUUUCUUUUUAGUUUUUAAAAGUUUAAUUUAGAAUAAAAAAUUUUGUUGGGGUGACAAUAAAAUUUUUAUAACUUUUAUUAAUUUUUUCCAUUAAUUUAUGUGAUGAUCCAGUUUUAUUGAUUAUAAGAUUAAUUUACCUUAGGGAUAACAGCGUAAUUUUUUCGGAGAGUUCUCAUUGAUGAAGAAGUUUGCGACCUCGAUGUUGAAUUAAGAUAAGUUUUGGGUGUAGUCUUUCAAAUAUUCUUGGUCUGUUCGACCAUUAAAUUCUUACAUGAUUUGAGUUCAGACCGGCGUGAGCCAGGUCGGUUUCUAUCCUUAUAAAUAAUAGGUUAGUACGAAAGGACCACCUAUUUCAAUAAUUUUGUUUAUUUUGAUUAUAAUUAAAAAAAAA